AUGCGCCAGCCAGGGCCCGUGGGAGCCCUCUCUGCCCCGGGGACAGUGACAGUGCCACCCCCAAGCUCAUGGAAGGUCCCGUCCUGGCUGGAGGAGGGCCCCAGACCCCCAGUGAGAGCAAAUGCCACCGGAGGGGGUCUGGAUCCGCCUUUGUCUCCUGAGACAGGAGUGACUCAGGCUCCAGCUGCCCGUGGGAGGGAGGGGGAGCCCGGGCUCCCAAGGUCGCGCAGAGCAGAGCUGAGGUUCAGCCUCGCGCCUCACUCCCAAGCACCCCUCCCCACCGACCCUUCCUUGGCCCGAAUAACGCCCCUCGCGUCCCCAGCCGCGAUGCGACGCAGGUGGGGACAGGGACCCCGCGGCCCCUCCUCUCCUAGCCCCGAAGCCAAGCCGGACUCCGCCCCUCUGGGCCUGGGGUCCUUCAGUCCCGCCCCCUCCCCGCGCCCUGCAGCCCGAGUCGGGGCCACGCUAGGGCUGACCGCACAAGCGGCACGCAGUCGGGGUCGCGGAGCUGUCCUGGAUCCGGGCUGCAGCGUGGGCCCCGCCGGGCCCUGGGACCACCCAGACGCCCUCAGCCCCGACAGCUGCCGCGUUCCCUGGGGGAAAGGCCGGGGCCACGCCUUGUUCUUCCUAGGCGCCUCCCCGACUUUCCCACGUCCCGAGGGCACUGCUGCCCUCAGCCACCCCUGUGGGGCUCAGAGCGGCCUGCCCUGUGCCCCCAGGGACCCAGAGCUGCUGCCAGCUUCCACACACAGCGCUGUGCGCCGGCCUGCAGACGCAGCCCGAGGCGAGGGGUCGGCCGCCUCCCUGGCCUCCCCAGCUGGGCCUCCCCGCCGGCUCCCUGAGCCCCCCAGGCAGGAAGUGAAAGGGGCCUGCAGGAAGCCUCGGGAGGAACUGAGACUCCCGCCAGCCCCGCCCCCAGCUGCGGAGCCCUGGGGACCUUGUGGAAAAGCAGGCCCCGCUGCAGGAAAAACCCGCACAGACCCUGUGAGGGGCGCCACUGCCUGGGCUCCCGCCAGUCCCUGUGCAGAGGGAGGCAGGGGUGGGGCCUGGCACCUGGGCCAAUGGCUUUGUGCUGGGAACGCAGAGGGCGUGGGGCAGGGCCACCGCGAACUGCAUCUUGGGCCGGAUCCCUUUGCUGUCUCUAGGCCUCUCUUUGCCUGCCUGCAAAAUGGGCCGUAG
Molecule: long non-coding RNA, 1179 nt
Filed under: Oryctolagus cuniculus (rabbit)
Lineage: Eukaryota; Metazoa; Chordata; Mammalia; Lagomorpha; Leporidae
Description: lncRNA (ENSOCUG00000036821.1)
Source: RNAcentral